AACACAUGCAAGUACGAACGGAGAUUGAGAGCUUGCUCUUAAAUCUUAGUGGCGGACGGGUGAGUAACACGUGAGCAACCUGCCUCUGAGAGAGGAUAGCUUCUGGAAACGGAUGGUAAUACCUCAUAACAUUACAUGACCGCAUGAUCGUGUAAUCAAAGAUUUAUCACUCAGAGGAUGGGCUCGCGUCUGAUUAGCUAGUUGGUGAGGUAACGGCCCACCAAGGCGACGAUCAGUAGCCGGACUGAGAGGUUGAACGGCCACAUUGGGACUGAGACACGGCCCAGACUCCUACGGGAGGCAGCAGUGAGGGAUAUUGCACAAUGGAGGAAACUCUGAAUGCAGCGAUGCCGCGUGGAGGAAGAAGGUUUUCGGAUUGUAAACUCCUGUUUCGAGGGACGAUAAUGACGGUACCUCGGGAGGAAGACUCCGGCUAACUACGUGCCAGCCGCAGC
RNAcentral lists this ribosomal RNA (455 nucleotides) under uncultured bacterium. RNAcentral describes it as "bacterial SSU rRNA". It matches the Rfam family "Bacterial small subunit ribosomal RNA", at positions 50 to 518 of the family's 1533-position model. The record is from RNAcentral.